GAGUUUGAUCCUGGCUCAGAUUGAACGCUGGCGGUAUGCUUAACACAUGCAAGUCGAACGGAAACGAUACUAGCUUGCUAGUAGGCGUCGAGUGGCGGACGGGUGAGUAACGCGUAGGAAUCUGCCUGAUAGUGGGGGAUAGCCCGAAGAAAUUCGGAUUAAUACCGCAUAAUCUAUUCGUAGUAAAGUGGGGGACUUUCGAGCCUCACGCUAUCAGAUGAGCCUGCGUAAGAUUAGCUAGUUGGUAGGGUAAAAGCCUACCAAGGCGACGAUCUUUAGCUGGUCUGAGAGGAUGAUCAGCCACAUCGGGACUGAGACACGGCCCGAACUCCUACGGGAGGCAGCAGUGGGGAAUAUUGGACAAUGGGGGCAACCCUGAUCCAGCAAUACCGCGUGUGUGAAGAAGGCCUGAGGGUUGUAAAGCACUUUCAAUUGUGAAGAAAAGCUAGUGGUUAAUAGCCAUUAGCCUUGACGUUAACUUUAGAAGAAGCACCGGCUAACUCCGUGCCAGCAGCCGCGGUAAUACGGAGGGUGCAAGCGUUAAUCGGAAUUACUGGGCGUAAAGCGUGCGUAGGCGGUUUAUUAAGUCAGAUGUGAAAGCCCCGGGCUUAACCUGGGAACUGCAUUUGAAACUGGUCAACUAGAGUAUGGUAGAGGAAAGUGGAAUUUCUGGUGUAGCGGUGAAAU
This 687-nucleotide ribosomal RNA is filed under the name uncultured bacterium. RNAcentral's name for it is "bacterial SSU rRNA". It matches the Rfam family "Bacterial small subunit ribosomal RNA", at positions 9 to 687 of the family's 1533-position model. The record is from RNAcentral.